UUCUUUUUCUUCUAUUCAAUUCGACCGCCUUUACCUCCAAAUGGUAAACAAUGGGAAUGGUGUUAUCGGAGGAAAAGGGCGCCCGGUGUGCAUUUCAACACUCGCCUCUUUUUUCCUUUUCUUUCCAUCUCUCAUUCCUCCAUUUC
This is a non-coding RNA of Caenorhabditis elegans, 146 nucleotides long. Lineage: Eukaryota; Metazoa; Nematoda; Chromadorea; Rhabditida; Rhabditidae. The record is from Ensembl.